UAAAAUAAAUUAAUGAAACUUAAAAAAAAAGAAAAAAAUAAGGAAAAAACGAGUCAGGAAGAAAUAAAAAAUACAUUCCAUAGGAGUGUUUCUUCCUAUUAUUUAGAAAGACAGAGCUUCAUUGGGCAUGCCAAAAAUGUACUAUCAGAGAAAAGUUUUAGUCUUAGUUAGACAAAAACUAGGAUUGUUGAGCUUCCUUUCAGCAUAUCAGGUGAUUACCCAACUCUGGCUUAGACAAAGCAUUUCUCAGCUUUGGAUAUAUAACAACGGCUAUGACUUUAUAGGUAGUAGUAGAGUCCGUAGUUGCAACUGCUUAGAUACAUAAAUAAUGCCUACCACUAUUAGGACAACUUUUUCAUGAUUAUGUGGUUUCAGUUUUCAUAGUUUCAGUGAGCAUUUUUCCAGAGUCCAGGUCUAUACUACUAGUAUAAGGUACAUGUUCAAUGAUCUUUAAAACCAUAAUUUCUACCGAAUCCCCUAAUUGAGAAUCAUGUGGUUUAUCCUCAGUAUUAACAUUGAGCUUGGAACUGUUUCAUGUGUGUUUCAAAGAGUUGAACAGUCUGCCAGUAGGAUUCUGGGAAACACUACUUUUACAAGAAAGUGACUUACAAGCCUCAAGAAAGUGGUAAAGAAGGAAAAGCCAAGGAUAAUAUGUGACCAGCAGCGGCAACAUGCUCUUGUUUCAGUAAUACCCAGGCUGGUGAACAAGUACAGACUGGCUAGUGACUGGCCCACAUCAGUCAAGGACACUUUAAUCUUUCUAAAGGGAUGAAAAAUAAUUGGCGAUGCUUCUCUAAAUUAUUUUGAAAUAUUUCUGUAGAAAGAAACAGAGAAAUGCACAUGGGUGAGAGGAGGCAAAAACAAUUUUAACAGAAAAAAGUCAUUGGUCUGGCUCCACAAAUUUUCAAGUAUACUACAGAGGCAGACCUUGUAUUUGGUGACUGAGAGAUGCAUACAGAAUUAAGGGAUGGAGUAGGGGGCAUUGCAUGACCUUCCAGCACACAUAUAUACAAGUGUGCCACAUAUAUAGUGGCCUGUCACCUGGGCCAGGUCUCUUGUCCACCUACCUGAAAGAGAAAGAAGCACAGUGAAUGAAUAGAAAGAAGUAGUGAACUGGGUUCUAAUUCCAGUUUUCCUAGAUGAUGUGUUUUGGUUAGGUCACUUUGUCUGUCUUAAGUGAAAUAGGGAUGAUGAAAAGUACCAUAUUAAUUUCUCAUCAUGCUGUAGUUCCAAGUCUGUGAAGGUUACUCUAACCUCUAGGGGGUGACACUUUUAGAUUUCCAGAUUUGGGGAAAAGGUUUCACUGGUCAGUCCUGAAAGGGGCUAUCUUACAAAUCUCACCAUUUCUGCUGGAACAUUUGUCUCCUAAAGAUUCUUCCAGUGAAAUGGCAGCAAGUAGACAUGAGAUGAUUCUGUAUGGGUGAGAGAAUCUCUAGUAUACACCAGAACUUCCAGGGUGUCAUUUAGUAGAUAUGUAUUCUUAUUCUUAAUCCAACUUUGCAGCCCAAUGACUUUAUGAAGUCAAAAAUUCUCCCCCAAAUCCUUUUGGAGUAUGAUUUUUAAAGCAUAUAGAGACAGAAUCUGAGCCAAUAUAUUUUAUUUCAAAUAAGGUUCUUUGGUUUCUAAUAUGCUUUUGAAAUGUGACAUCUGUCCACGUUGUGAAAUUCUGCUCUCUCAGCUCCCUGGAGAGCUAGGAAGAGUAUUAAAUAAUUGGAUCCUUGUUGCUUUCUGAAUUCCACUACUUGUGGGCCAUUUCUGCUGGAUAAGCAUGUUGUUUAUCCAUAGCAUUCUCUUAAUUCUGCUCCUCAAACUCCUAUUUUCUGCUCUCAAAGCCAAACUCUGGGAUGGAGAACACUACUCCAUGGUUAUUUGUUAUUAAAGGACUUCUAUCACAGAAAAAGGGAAGCAAUGUUGAUAAGAUAAAGUACCUAAAAAGAAGAUAAGCUGAAAAGGCAAGGAGGGAUGUCAUGCAUUUCAGAGUUGCUCAUUUAUUCUGUUUUGCCACAUCACAAUCCUUACAAUGAAAGCACUCUUCCUUCUCCAUUGGAUUUUCAUCUGUAGAGUAUUUAAUCUUACAAAAUUAAAAAAAAUCAAUAACCAGGGAAUAUUCAGUAGUUUAGAGUUUUAAUAUUUAUCACAAAAGCAGAGCAAUCACUUGUGAAGGGGUGGGGAGAGACAGAAUUAUGGGCACUUCUUUAAAAAAAAAACCAAAUGUAAUCUUCCCCAAAGUUGUAUCGAUACUAAAACUCACCCAAUUUCACAUGAAUCCUCAAGAGUUGUAUCGAUACUGAAUUUCACUCCACUUCACUUGAAUUUUCAAAUUUGAAAUACCAGCUGAUUCGCACUACUUCCUUUCAAUUAACUUUUCUAGCCUACAAAUCCAUACAUGUUGGUGAAUACCUAAAAGCAAAUAUUAUCUAUACAGAGACAGGAAAUGAUGACAUUACUGGCAAAAGUGAUGUCAUAAACAGACAUCAAUUCCAAAGGAUACUGAGUUCUCAUGGUACUAGGGGAAAUAAAAUAAUGACUUCACAGCUGAAUAGAAUUUAAAUAAAACAUAUUUCAACAAAACUGCCAGAAAAAUGAAUCAUUCUACAUUAACAGGCUACAUUAGCAACUGGAUAUGUUAAAAGUUUAAUUUAGCAGAGGACUGCCUCUGACCAAAAAGAGUUUAAUUUAGAUUUUAUCUGUCUUUUUAACUUAAGUUUAUUCAUUUUUGGUAAUCUCUACACCCAAUGUGGGGCUCACCCGGAGAUCAAAAGUUGCAUGCUCUUCUGACUGAGCCAGCCAGAUGCCCCGUAGAUUUCAUCUGGUUUUGAUUUAUGUCAAUAAGUAUGGUUACUGGCUUAAAGGAAACCUGAAAUUUAUCUUUCUCUUUAUGGACAAUAUUAACAUAUUUCCUAGAGAAACUUCUGUAUUUUAUGGGUAACAAUACUUUUAUCUCCCAAAUUUAAAUCUUUUUUUUCUAUGAUAAUUUUAAGAAAGUAACUGACAGAAAGGUACAACACAAAGAAUUAUAGCUAGUAAUUGGCAUCCACUUAUAAUAUACUAGGCAAGGUGUAGAAGGUUUUAUGUACAUUAUUUUGAUUAAUACUUAUGAUACACAACGUUGACGUUAUAGAAAUGUGGACACAAUGAUCCCCAGGUAAACUAAAGACAAAAAGAAUGAGGCCUAAAGAGGGUAAGUGAUCUGCCAAGGGUCACAAAACAAAUAAGAGAGGAGGUGGAAUUCAAAUUUAAGUACCUCUCGUUCUUAAGUCUUUCUCCUUUAUUUACUCUUAUAAUUAAAGAGUAAAAGGUACAACAAGUGAGCAUAUUUGACUUAUUAGAACAUAAAUACUGUUUUUCAAUGUAAGUAUUAAGUUGGAAGUAUGUUACUUCAUACUGAAAAUAUUUAGCACAAAUUCAGUAGAAUUCGUACUCAACAGGCUUAAGAGUCCUUUAAAAUUCUCAUCUACAGCAGCAUUUCUCAACUUUUUUCAUCAUCUUCCCCCACCCCCCAAGGGGUCUUCUUGACACUUUUUUUCUUAAUCACGCUACCCACAAAAAUUUAAUACCACAGAUAUACCACAUACUAUAUGUAUAUCUGUGCAUACAGACUAUAUGUAGAUCUGUGCUUUAUACAUAAGAAGAGUUAAGAUUUUUUUUCCCCUAGAAUGCAUUUUUGCCCCUUGGAGGGUAAUGAGGAUGUAUAAUCUGAAAGAUGUAUCUGUUUUUCUUUGUUGCUCCAAAACCUUCCAACCCACUGGCUAUUACUUCAAAUUGCACGGAGUUAGGAUCUUAGACUUUUAGCUUAAAGUUUUUCUGUACGUUAAAAUAUGAAUACAUAGAAAAUAUUGGUGAAGCACCAAAACCCAUGUACAUUUUAGUGUGAAUAGAAGAUGGAAAAACCAGUUUGAUGGGGGAAAAUGAGAAGAAUGUGAGAGCACUCCCUACUGGAGCAGAGGAAGGAGAACAGAGAGGCUCUGGGUUGGAAUGCCUGUGGCACAAUUGUGCUUCAGUCUGGUCCCGUUGAACACAUUAACAUGAAGUAAGUACUUGAAAAUGCCAGCUCCCAUUCAUGAUGAACAAGAAAUCUUAGUCAUAAGCCACCUUAGUGACCAUCACCCUAUUGAUUAAUGUGUAAAUACUGGGUUUCCUGCCUGUGAAGAUUUGCUGUUUGGUUCCUUUCAGGUCUGUUUGUAUAUUCCCAAUUGCUAUGUGGCCAAGAACAAGUAAGUUUAUGUAAUGUUCCAAAGAAACAGCUCGACACCGUGGCUCAUUUUAACCCAGAUAGUGUGAGCCUUCACAAACUCUUCCUUGUAUCCUAUGCCUGCUGGAGUACUGGACAGACUCCACUCACUCACUGUGCACCUCGGUGGAAACUAACAAACAAUACAGUCACUGUCAGUAGAUGUUGCCUCCUCAGCGUACAGAGCCAAAAAAAAUUUUGGAAAAGUAGGUUACUUCACUGGGGUUGGAGAUGUAAAUUCUGAAUUGAU
Long non-coding RNA from Leopardus geoffroyi (Geoffroy's cat), 4481 nucleotides. RefSeq lists it as uncharacterized. NCBI's taxonomy places the organism in Eukaryota, Metazoa, Chordata, Mammalia, Carnivora, Felidae. The transcript is spliced from 3 exons. The record is from RefSeq and is a predicted model, not a curated record.